UGCACACCAGUCCGAGAGCCUUUUUUUCUUUCUUUCUUUCUUUCUUUUUUUUAAACCGUGACUUUAUUCAGGUUUCUCGUUGUUGAUUUUCAGCACCUCCUGCUCCACGAGGUCAACGGCAUUCAGGACAAAUCUAUAAAUUACAGAUGAAGAAUKUAAUGAGUUCUGCUGGAAUCCCUUCUGGCUAGUUGAAAAGUGGUACAGUGCGUCAGAAAUACUGCUUUUCUGGGAAAGCGUGACCCCUUUAUUGAGGAAGAGGUGGCGGUUUCAGAUACUUGUGUGGGAUCGGGAGUCUUCUUGAUCAGAUGUCCUCUGAGACUUGGUUUCCUGUGUGUAAUUUUAAUGGGCCACUGUGAAGUUAAUCAGGCCUGCUCAGAGCAGAGGCAGGACGUUGGUGCUGCUGCUUGUGAUGUGUGCUGGCUGUCAUCCAGCACCUCUGGAAAGCACCAGAAAGGCUCCCAUCGACUUCAGUUAUGGAAGCAACCUUUUUCUCUAUGUGGAGAGACUUUGAGGCUGCACUCCUGGUAA
Molecule: long non-coding RNA, 528 nt
Filed under: Dromaius novaehollandiae (emu)
Lineage: Eukaryota; Metazoa; Chordata; Aves; Casuariiformes; Dromaiidae
Description: lncRNA (ENSDNVG00000013645.1)
Source: RNAcentral